RNAcentral lists this ribosomal RNA (263 nucleotides) under uncultured bacterium. Its description in RNAcentral is "partial 16S ribosomal RNA". It matches the Rfam family "Bacterial small subunit ribosomal RNA", at positions 15 to 275 of the family's 1533-position model. The record is from RNAcentral.
GAUCAUGGCUCAGGACGAACGCUGGCGGCGUGCGUAACCCAUGCAAGUCGAACGAGCAGAUUUCCUUCGGGGAAGAAGCGAGUGGCGGACGGGUGAGUAACGCGUGAACAACCAACCCUAUACAGGGGGACAACAGCUGGAAACGGCUGCUAAUACCGCAUAAGACCACAAGGUCGCAUGGCCAAGGGGUCAAAGGAGCAAUCCGGUAUAGGACGGGUUCGCGUCCCAUUAGCUAGUAGGCGGGGUAAAGGCCCACCUAGGCG